UAAACUAGGAUUAGAUACCCUAUUAUUUUAAAUGUAAAAUUUUGCCUAGGUAAUAAUAGUUUUGUUCUUUAAACCUAAAGAAUUUGGCGGUGUUUUAGUCUUUUCAGAGGAAUUUGUCCCGUUAUCGAUAGUCCUCGUUAUAUCUUACUUGAAUUAUUAGUAUGUAUAUCGCCGUUAUAAGCUUAUUUUUUAAGAAUUGAUUUGCUUAAAAAUUUAAUUUUUAAUAUUUCAGGUCAAGGUGCAGUUUAUAUUUAAGUGGUGAUGAAUUACAAUAUUAUUUUAAUAUACGGGAAUGAUUUUUAUAAUGUUAUUUAAGGUGGAUUUGUUUGUAAUUUUUAUUAUAAUUUAAAUUUGAUUUUGGCUCUAAAAUGAGUACACAUCG
RNAcentral lists this ribosomal RNA (382 nucleotides) under Neopromachus scharreri. RNAcentral's name for it is "partial 12S ribosomal RNA". Lineage: Eukaryota; Metazoa; Arthropoda; Insecta; Phasmatodea; Phasmatidae. The record is from RNAcentral.